RNAcentral lists this ribosomal RNA (516 nucleotides) under uncultured bacterium. RNAcentral describes it as "bacterial SSU rRNA". It matches the Rfam family "Bacterial small subunit ribosomal RNA", at positions 32 to 518 of the family's 1533-position model. The record is from RNAcentral.
ACGACGCUGGCGGCGUGCCUAAUACAUGCAAGUCGAACGGUCUUUCUAUGGAAGCUUGCUUCCACUGAGAAGAUAGUGGCGAAACGGGUGAGUAACACGUGGGUAACCUGCCCAUAAGAGGGGGGAUAACAUCCGGAAACGGGUGCUAAUACCGCAUAGUUUCUGAUCGCAUGAUUGAGAAAGGAAAGACGGCCUUUGUGCUGUCGCUUAUGGAUGGACCCGCGGCGUAUUAGUUAGUUGGUGAGGUAACGGCUCACCAAGACGAUGAUACGUAGCCGACCUGAGAGGGUGAUCGGCCACAUUGGGACUGAGACACGGCCCAAACUCCUACGGGAGGCAGCAGUAGGGAAUCUUCCGCAAUGGACGAAAGUCUGACGGAGCAACGCCGCGUGAGUGAAGAAAAGGUUUUCGGAUCGUAAAACUCUGUUGUCAGAGAAGAACAAGUUGGAGAGUAACUGCUCCAGCCUUGACGGUAUCUGACCAGAAAGCCACGGCUAACUACGUGCCAGCCGCCGC